RNAcentral lists this ribosomal RNA (1372 nucleotides) under uncultured bacterium. Its description in RNAcentral is "bacterial SSU rRNA". It matches the Rfam family "Bacterial small subunit ribosomal RNA", at positions 29 to 1381 of the family's 1533-position model. The record is from RNAcentral.
GCGAACGCUGGCGGCGUGCCUAAUACAUGCAAGUGGAACGCAUUUUAAUCACCGUAGCUUGCUACACCGAAUAAAAUGAGUCGCGAACGGGUGAGUAACGCGUAGGUAACCUACCUUCUAGCGGGGGACAACUAUUGGAAACGAUAGCUAAUACCGCAUAAGACAUUAUAUCGCAUGAUAGGAUGUUAAAAGAUACAAUUGUAUCACUAGGAGAUGGACCUGCGUUGUAUUAGCUAGUUGGUGAGGUAACGGCUCACCAAGGCAGCGAUACAUAGCCGACCUGAGAGGGUGAUCGGCCACACUGGGACUGAGACACGGCCCAGACUCCUACGGGAGGCAGCAGUAGGGAAUCUUCGGCAAUGGGGGCAACCCUGACCGAGCAACGCCGCGUGAGUGAAGAAGGUUUUCGGAUCGUAAAGCUCUGUUGUAAGCGAAGAAGAGUGUUAGGAGUGGAAAAUCUAACACAUGACGGUAGCUUACCAGAAAGGGACGGCUAACUACGUGCCAGCAGCCGCGGAAUCGUAGGUCUCGAGCGUUGCCGGAUUUAUUGGGCGUAAAGCGAGCGCAGGCGGUUAGAUAAGUCAGAAGUUAAAGGCUGUGGCUCAACCAUAGUAUGCUUUUGAAACUGUUUAACUUGAGUGCAGAAGGGGAGAGGGAAUUCCAUGUGUAGCGGUGAAAUGCGUAGAUAUAUGGAGGAACACCGGUGGCGAAAGCGGCUCUCUGGUCUGUGACUGACGCUGAGGCUCGAAAGCGUGGGUAGCGAACAGGAUUAGAUACCCUGGUAGUCCACGCCGUAAACGAUGAGUGCUAGGUGUUAGACCCUUUCCGGGGUUUAGUGCCGUAGCUAACGCAUUAAGCACUCCGCCUGGGGAGUACGACCGCAAGGUUGAAACUCAAAGGAAUUGACGGGGGCCCGCACAAGCGGUGGAGCAUGUGGUUUAAUUCGAAGCAACGCGAAGAACCUUACCAGGUCUUGACAUCCCUCUGACCGGUCUAGAGAUAGGCUUUCCCUUUUGGGCAGAGGAGACAGGUGGUGCAUGGUUGUCGUCAGCUCGUGUCGUGAGAUGUUGGGUUAAGUCCCGCAACGAGCGCAACCCUUAUUGUUAGUUGCCAUCAUUGAGUUGGGCACUCUAGCGAGACUGCCGGUAAUAAACCGGAGGAAGGUGGGGAUGACGUCAAAUCAUCAUGCCCCUUAUGACCUGGGCUACACACGUGCUACAAUGGUUGGUACAACGAGUCGCAAGCCGGUGACGGCAAGCUAAUCUCUUAAAGCCAAUCUCAGUUCGGAUUGUAGGCUGCAACUCGCCUACAUGAAGUCGGAAUCGCUAGUAAUCGCGGAUCAGCACGCCGCGGUGAAUACGUUCCCGGGCCU